UACGUAGGUGGCAAGCGUUGUCCGGAAUUAUUGGGCGUAAAACGCGCGCAGGCGGUCCUUUAAGUCUGAUGUGAAAGCCCCCGGCUCAACCGGGGAGGGUCAUUGGAAACUGGGGGACUUGAGUGCAGAAGAGGAGAGUGGAAUUCCACGUGUAGCGGUGAAAUGCGUAGAGAUGUGGAGGAACACCAGUGGCGAAGGCGACUCUCUGGUCUGUAACUGACGCUGAGGCGCGAAAGCGUGGGUAGCGAACAGG
Molecule: ribosomal RNA, 253 nt
Filed under: uncultured bacterium
Lineage: Bacteria
Description: partial 16S ribosomal RNA
Rfam family: Bacterial small subunit ribosomal RNA
Source: RNAcentral